RNAcentral lists this ribosomal RNA (503 nucleotides) under uncultured bacterium. RNAcentral's name for it is "bacterial SSU rRNA". It matches the Rfam family "Bacterial small subunit ribosomal RNA", at positions 8 to 518 of the family's 1533-position model. The record is from RNAcentral.
AGAGUUUGAUCAUGGCUCAGGAUGAACGCUGGCGGCGUGCUUAACACAUGCAAGUCGAACGAAGCCAAGAGGAAGCUUGCUUCUUGAAGCUUAGUGGCGGACGGGUGAGUAACGCGUGAGGAACCUGCCCUUCAGUGGGGAAUAACGGCCGGAAACGACUGCUAAUACCGCAUAACGUCGGAGUGCCGCAUGACACACCGACCAAAGGAUUUAUUCGCUGAAGGAUGGCCUCGCGUCCGAUUAGGCAGUUGGUGAGGUAACGGCCCACCAAACCUACGAUCGGUAGCCGAACUGAGAGGUUGAUCGGCCACAUUGGGACUGAGACACGGCCCAGACUCCUACGGGAGGCAGCAGUGGGGAAUAUUGGGCAAUGGGCGAAAGCCCUGACCCAGCAACGCCGCGUGAAGGAAGACGGUCUUCGGAUUGUAAACUUCUUUGAUUGGGGAAGAACACAAUGACCUACCCAAAGAACAAGUCACGGCUAACUACGUGCCAGCCGCCGC